This 253-nucleotide ribosomal RNA is filed under the name uncultured bacterium. Its description in RNAcentral is "partial 16S ribosomal RNA". It matches the Rfam family "Bacterial small subunit ribosomal RNA", at positions 524 to 776 of the family's 1533-position model. The record is from RNAcentral.
UACGGGGGGGGCAAGCGUUGUUCGGAAUUACUGGGCGUAAAGGGUUUGUAGGUGGCUUGUUAAGUCAGACGUGAAAUCCCUCAGCUUAACUGGGGAACUGCGUCUGAUACUGGCGAGCUUGAGUGCAGGAGAGGAACGCGGAAUUCCAGGUGUAGUGGUGGAAUGCGUAGAGAUCCGGAGGAACACCAGCGGCGAAGGCGGCAUCCUGGACUGGUCCUGACACUCAUGAGCGAAAGCGUGGGGAGCGAUCCGG